Molecule: transfer RNA, 72 nt
Filed under: Laonastes aenigmamus (Laotian rock rat)
Lineage: Eukaryota; Metazoa; Chordata; Mammalia; Rodentia; Laonastidae
Description: tRNA-Gln
Rfam family: tRNA
About the family: Transfer RNA (tRNA) molecules are approximately 80 nucleotides in length. Their secondary structure includes four short double-helical elements and three loops (D, anti-codon, and T loops).
Source: RNAcentral
UAGAAUAUAGUGUAUGCGGUAGCACUUGGAGUUUUGAUCUCUACAGAGCGGGUUCAAAUCCUGUAGUUCUAG